This 525-nucleotide ribosomal RNA is filed under the name uncultured bacterium. RNAcentral describes it as "bacterial SSU rRNA". It matches the Rfam family "Bacterial small subunit ribosomal RNA", at positions 8 to 526 of the family's 1533-position model. The record is from RNAcentral.
AGAGUUUGAUCCUGGCUCAGGAUGAACGCUAGCGGCAGGCUUAAUACAUGCAAGUCGUACGGCAGCACGGGUAGCAAUACCUGGUGGCGAGUGGCGCACGGGUGCGUAACGCGUAUGCAACCUACCCUUAACAGAGACAUAACCUGGCGAAAGCUGGGCUAAUAUCUCAUGAGGUUAUAGAGGGGCAUCCCUAAAUAAUCAAAGCAGCGAUGUGGUUAAGGAUGGGCAUGCGUCCCAUUAGCUAGUUGGUGAGGUAACGGCUCACCAAGGCGACGAUGGGUAGGGGUUCUGAGAGGAAGGUCCCCCACACUGGUACUGAGACACGGACCAGACUCCUACGGGAGGCAGCAGUAAGGAAUAUUGGGCAAUGGUCGGAAGACUGACCCAGCCAUGCCGCGUGCAGGAAGAAGGCCCUAUGGGUUGUAAACUGCUUUAGCCAGGGGCUAAACCUACCGAUGCGUUGGUAGCUGAAGGUACCUGGAGAAUAAGCAUCGGCUAACUCCGUGCCAGCCGCCGCGGUAAUAC